AUUGAACGCUGGCGGCAUGCUUUACACAUGCAAGUCGAACGGCAGCACGGGUGCUUGCACCUGGUGGCGAGUGCGACGGUGAGUAAUGCAUCGGAACGUGUCCUGAAGUGGGGAUAACGCAUCGAAAGAUGUGCUAAUACCGCAUAUUCUCUGAGGAGGAAAUGGGAUCGAAAGCCUUAUGCUUUUGGAGCGGCCGAUGUCUGAUUAGCUAGUUGGUAGGGUAAUGGCUUACCAAGGCGACGAUCAGUAGUUGGGUCUGAGAGGACGACCAGCCACACUGGGACUGAGACACGGCCCAGACUCCUACGGGAGGCAGCAGUGGGGAAUUUUGGACAAUGGGCGCAAGCCUGAUCCAGCAAUGCCGCGUGAGUGAAGAAGGCCUUCGGGUUGUAAAGCUCUUUCAGUUGAGAAGAAAAGUCGUGACUAAUAAUCAUGAUUCAUGACGGUAUCAACAGAAGAAGCACCGGCUAACUACGUG
This 478-nucleotide ribosomal RNA is filed under the name uncultured bacterium. Its description in RNAcentral is "bacterial SSU rRNA". It matches the Rfam family "Bacterial small subunit ribosomal RNA", at positions 30 to 507 of the family's 1533-position model. The record is from RNAcentral.